CAUUACCGAAGAGGUCGCUGGAUUCAUCAGUAUCGGACGCGAGGCGAAACGGAGCCUGCGACCGCCCGCGAAAGGGGAUCCAGCCGAAAUCCCCGACGCCCGUGCACCGUCGGAGGUUGGGCGCGGGGCGAACAGGUUCGCGACUGUCGCGGCCAGCCGGCCGCGGAGCGCUGACGAUAAGA
Molecule: non-coding RNA, 182 nt
Filed under: Bifidobacterium bohemicum
Lineage: Bacteria; Bacillati; Actinomycetota; Actinomycetes; Bifidobacteriales; Bifidobacteriaceae
Also listed under: 1 other name
Description: Lysine sequence
Rfam family: Lysine riboswitch aptamer
About the family: Riboswitches are metabolite binding domains within certain messenger RNAs that serve as precision sensors for their corresponding targets.
Source: RNAcentral